This 253-nucleotide ribosomal RNA is filed under the name uncultured bacterium. Its description in RNAcentral is "partial 16S ribosomal RNA". It matches the Rfam family "Bacterial small subunit ribosomal RNA", at positions 524 to 776 of the family's 1533-position model. The record is from RNAcentral.
UACAGAGGUCUCAAGCGUUGUUCGGAAUUACUGGGCGUAAAGCGUGCGCAGGCGGUUUGCUAAGACAGGUGUGAAAUCCCCGGGCUUAACCUGGGAAUGGCAUUUGGGACUGCAAGGCUGGAGUGCGGCAGAGGAGACUGGAAUUCCUGGUGUAGCAGUGAAAUGCGUAGAUAUCAGGAGGAACACCGAUGGCGAAGGCAGGUCUCUGGGCUGACACUGACGCUCAUGCACGAAAGCGUGGGGAGCAAACAGG